GACGAACGCUGGCGGCGUGCUUAACACAUGCAAGUCGAACGGAAAGGCCCUGCUUUUGUGGGGUGCUCGAGUGGCGAACGGGUGAGUAACACGUGAGUAACCUGCCCUUGACUUUGGGAUAACUUCAGGAAACUGGGGCUAAUACCGGAUAGGAGCUCCUGCUGCAUGGUGGGGGUUGGAAAGUUUCGGCGGUUGGGGAUGGACUCGCGGCUUAUCAGCUUGUUGGUGGGGUAGUGGCUUACCAAGGCUUUGACGGGUAGCCGGCCUGAGAGGGUGACCGGCCACAUUGGGACUGAGAUACGGCCCAGACUCCUACGGGAGGCAGCAGUGGGGAAUAUUGCACAAUGGGCGGAAGCCUGAUGCAGCAACGCCGCGUGCGGGAUGACGGCCCUCGGGUUGUAAACCGCUUUCGCCUGUGACGAAGCGUGAGGGACGGUAAUGGGUAAAGAAGCACCGGCUAACUACGU
Molecule: ribosomal RNA, 467 nt
Filed under: uncultured bacterium
Lineage: Bacteria
Description: partial 16S ribosomal RNA
Rfam family: Bacterial small subunit ribosomal RNA
Source: RNAcentral